AAAAUGAAGUUUGUCUGUUAGUUUAUGUUUUGAUAGUUUCCUUUUCUGAAUUACUCAGUGUUGUCCACGUACUAGUUGUUAUAUAAAAAUUGUCGUUCUCCUUAUGAUGGCUGUACACCAGAUAUACUCAGGACAUAUUGAAACAUGAAUUACCAUUUCUACCACAUGGGAAAGUUUCAACAUCCUACGUUGAAAAUGGACUGGACGAUCCUGAUAAUAAUAAUAGUUUUAUGCAUAGUACGAGUAAUGGAUAUUGAAUAUAAUUGAUAGUCAAUUAAUAUUAGUGUAACAAAAAAUGGCUGUACACCAGAUAUACUCAGGACAUAUUGAAACAUGAAUUACCAUUUCUACCACAUGGGAAAGUUUCAACAUCCUACGUUGAAAAUGGACUGGACGAUCCUGAUAAUAAUAAUAGUUUUAUGCAUAGUACGAGUAAUGGAUAUUGAAUAUAAUUGAUAGUCAAUUAAUAUUAGUGUAACAAAAAAUGGCUGUACACCAGAUAUACUCAGGACAUAUUGAAACAUGAAUUACCAUUUCUACCACAUGGGAAAGUUUCAACAUCCUACGUUGAAAAUGGACUGGACGAUCCUGAUAAUAAUAAUAGUUUUAUGCAUAGUACGAGUAAUGGAUAUUGAAUAUAAUUGAUAGUCAAUUAAUAUUAGUGUAACAAAAAAUGGCUGUACACCAGAUAUACUCAGGACAUAUUGAAACAUGAAUUACCAUUUCUACCACAUGGGAAAGUUUCAACAUCCUACGUUGAAAAUGGACUGGACGAUCCUGAUAAUAAUAAUAGUUUUAUGCAUAGUACGAGUAAUGGAUAUUGAAUAUAAUUGAUAGUCAAUUAAUAUUAGUGUAACAAAAAAUGGCUGUACACCAGAUAUACUCAGGACAUAUUGAAACAUGAAUUACCAUUUCUACCACAUGGGAAAGUUUCAACAUCCUACGUUGAAAAUGGACUGGACGAUCCUGAUAAUAAUAAUAGUUUUAUGCAUAGUACAUGUUUAACAUAAUUAACAGUGUAACAACAAUUCAUAACAAAAUUAAUCUGAAAGAAAAAUACUACAAGGAUUAUCAGAGAAUCUGUACAGUAACUGAACAGAAACAAUGAUCUGUUGAUGUUUUUGAAGAGGACUGUUCUCCAAAAUCAUGACUAUGUUCCACAACAAAUUGGACCUUAUCCCUUAGUACCUAUGUUGUAAAUACUGUGAAUAUUGUAAUUCAUUUAAAUUUAAUUUUCUACUUGUACACUUACAAAAAACUAUUCAACUGGGGAAUUAAUUGUACUUAUUAUUGUAGGAGGUCUGUUAUUGUUCAAUGUUAUAAAUUAUAAUAUUCCUUUUAUUAUUAAAUUAUGUAAUUUAUUAAGUUUAUUGUUAUUGAAUUAUUUUAUUUAUAAAAUUUACUAUUAUUUAAUUAUAUUAUUAUUAAGUGAGUAACUACCAGUAAAAAAUUAUACUUUAUUUUUUCAAAAAUGAUGAUUUUAAAAUAAAUUAUAGAGUUAAUAAACUAA
Long non-coding RNA from Rhopalosiphum padi (bird cherry-oat aphid), 1510 nucleotides. RefSeq lists it as uncharacterized. Lineage: Eukaryota; Metazoa; Arthropoda; Insecta; Hemiptera; Aphididae. The record is from RefSeq and is a predicted model, not a curated record. The transcript is spliced from 8 exons.